CCUACGGGUGGCAGCAGUGGGGAAUAUUGGACAAUGUGGGGAACCCUGAUCCAGCCAUGCCGCGUGUGUGAAGAAGGCCCUCGGGUUGUAAAGCACUUUCAGUGAGGAAGAACGCCUGGUGGUUAAUACCCAUCAGGAAAGACAUCACUCACAGAAGAAGCACCGGCUAACUCCGUGCCAGCAGCCGCGGUAAUACGGAGGGUGCGAGCGUUAAUCGGAAUUACUGGGCGUAAAGCGCGCGUAGGUGGCUUGAUAAGCCGGUUGUGAAAGCCCCGGGCUCAACCUGGGAACGGCAUCCGGAACUGUCAAGCUAGAGUGCAGGAGAGGAAGGUAGAAUUCCCGGUGUAGCGGUGAAAUGCGUAGAGAUCGGGAGGAAUACCAGUGGCGAAGGCGGCCUUCUGGACUGACACUGACACUGAGGUGCGAAAGCGUGGGUAGCAAACAGGAUUAGAUACCCUGGUAGUC
RNAcentral lists this ribosomal RNA (465 nucleotides) under Vreelandella stevensii. RNAcentral's name for it is "partial 16S ribosomal RNA". It matches the Rfam family "Bacterial small subunit ribosomal RNA", at positions 338 to 795 of the family's 1533-position model. The record is from RNAcentral. Lineage: Bacteria; Pseudomonadati; Pseudomonadota; Gammaproteobacteria; Oceanospirillales; Halomonadaceae.